AGCAUUUGUGUGUGGCUUUGUGUUGAACUAGUGGACAGGGACAUAAAGACAGACACAAGAAUAAAGUAGCAUUUGCAAUCGGGAACUCACUGUUCAUCAGUAUGAGUAUUGAUACAUUUAAGAAAAAACAUU
Molecule: small nucleolar RNA, 132 nt
Organism: Phodopus roborovskii (desert hamster)
Lineage: Eukaryota; Metazoa; Chordata; Mammalia; Rodentia; Cricetidae
Product: small nucleolar RNA SNORA40
Exons: 1
Source: RefSeq, a predicted model, not a curated record